AUGGAGGGUCUCCCAGAGCCACUGCUUGGAGAGAUCGUCAAGAGGAUUACCAAGACAAGUGAUCUUAAUUCUCUUUCCCUCGUGUCGAAGCAGCUCUCCACCAUCGAGGCGGAGCACAGGGUUGCUAUCCGUGUUGGCUGUGGACUCAAUCCUUCAACAGAAGCCUUGGUAUCGCUGUUUUCCCGGUUCCCCAAUUUGGCAAAAGUAGAGAUCAAUUACUCUGGGUCGAAGUCCAGUAACGUGGACCAGUUGAACAACCAAGGCCUACUUGUUUUAUCAUCUCACUGCUCCUUGCUGUCCGAUCUUGCUUUAAGCUUCUGCUCAAACAUCGAUGACACUGGUCUAGGUUAUCUAGCUGAGUGCAAAAAAUUGAGGUCCCUCAGGCUGAACCAUGCACCAGCAGUCACUUCUACUGGGAUUCUUCGGGUGGCGGUUGGUUGCAGGUAUCUUUCGGUUCUCCACCUUGUUGACUGUACAGCAGUAGACAGCGGGGAGUGGCUGGAGUACCUUAGGAGGUAUGGAUCACUGGGGGAACUUGUUGUAAAGGAUUGCGAUGGUAUCAGCCAGUAUGACCUCUUAAAGUUUGGCCCAGGAUGGUUGAAUCUCCAAAAGUUUGAGUUCGAGAUUAAUGGAAAUUACUGGGUGCCAGGGGCCCGUGAUCCCUCCUACGUGUCUGGCUACCCAUAUAGCUAUGACAUCUGCUGUGAUAAUCUGAAGGAUCUUAGGCUGGCUCAUAUAAUAACUGAGCCAGAAAUUGGACUUCGUUUUCUCUUGGGGAAGUGCAAAGCAUUGGAGACACUUUACCUGGAGUAUGUUAUUGGUCUAAAUGAGAAUGAGAUGAUUGCACUAUUCCAGAGGUGCAGCAACCUUAAAACCAUCUCACUUCGUCUCAUGCCUCUGCGAUGUGAAGAUGGUGAGUUUAGGACGCCAUUGACUGAUGCUAGCCUUAAGGCUCUAGCUCUUAGCUGCCCUAUGCUUCAGGUUAUUGAGCUCACCUUCACAUUUUGCGAUCCCAUUUAUCCUACUGAAAUAGGCUUCACACAAGAGGGUAUUGUAACGCUCAUCCAAUCAUGUCCGAUUCGUGCUCUUGUUCUAAAUGGUGCCAGCAUUUUUUAUGACGAGGGGAUGAAGGGCCUCUCAUCCUCACAGUUUCUGGAGAAGCUCGAGCUCGUGGAUUGCAGGUCUAUAACUGAUGCUGGUAUGAACUUGAUUAUACAGGCUCCUCGCUUGAGCAGUCUCACGCUCCGCAAAUGUAAGAGAGUGACAGAUGAUGGAAUGGCUGCCUUGGCACGUGCACAGAAGCUGGAGUGGCUGACCGUUAUAAGCUGCCGCCGGAUCUCUCAGGAAGGCGCGCAGAGAGCUGCCAAAUCAGUUCAUUACUCUGCGGAGGCUGAAAGCCAUGACAGCCUAAAAGGAAUGAUCGCCAAAAGUAGGGCUGGAAUUCGAGCCGAGUCGAGCAAGCUCGGCUCGACUCGCUAG
This 1479-nucleotide ribosomal RNA is filed under the name Triticum aestivum (bread wheat). RNAcentral describes it as "partial small subunit ribosomal RNA". Lineage: Eukaryota; Viridiplantae; Streptophyta; Magnoliopsida; Poales; Poaceae. The record is from RNAcentral.